Molecule: ribosomal RNA, 449 nt
Filed under: uncultured bacterium
Lineage: Bacteria
Description: partial 16S ribosomal RNA
Rfam family: Bacterial small subunit ribosomal RNA
Source: RNAcentral
GUGGGGAAUCUUCCGCAAUGGACGAAAGUCUGACGGAGCAACGCCGCGUGAGUGAAGAAGGUUUUCGGAUCGUAAAGCUCUUUCGUUAGGGACGAACGUGCUCUUUGUGAAUAAUGAGGAGUAAUGACGGUACCUAAAUAAGAAGCCACGGCUAACUACGUGCCAGCAGCCGCGGUAAUACGUAGGUGGCAAGCGUUGUCCGGAAUUAUUGGGCGUAAAGCGCGCGCAGGCGGGAUAUCAAGUCUGUCUUAAAAGUGCGAGGCUCAACCUCGUGAGGGGACAGAAACUGGUAUUCUUGAGUGUCGGAGAGGAAAGUGGAAUUCCAAGUGUAGCGGUGAAAUGCGUAGAGAUUUGGAAGAACACCAGUGGCGAAGGCGACUUUCUGGACGAUGUCUGACGCUGAGGCGCGAAAGCUAGGGGAGCGAACGGGAUUAGAAACCCCAGUAGCC